Molecule: ribosomal RNA, 459 nt
Filed under: uncultured bacterium
Lineage: Bacteria
Description: partial 16S ribosomal RNA
Rfam family: Bacterial small subunit ribosomal RNA
Source: RNAcentral
CCUACGGGGGGCAGCAGUGAGGAAUAUUGGUCAAUGGGCGGGAGCCUGAACCAGCCAAGCCGCGUGAGGGAAGAAGGUACAGCGUAUCGUAAACCUCUUUUGUCAGGGAACAAAGGCGGGGACUAGUCCCCGGAUGAGGGUACCUGAAGAAAAAGCAUCGGCUAACUCCGUGCCAGCAGCCGCGGUAAUACGGAGGAUGCGAGCGUUAUCCGGUUUUAUGGGGUUAAAAGGGGGCGCAGGCGGCAUCCUAAGUCUGCGGUAAAAGCCCGGGGCUAAACCAAGACGAGCCGUUGAAACUGGCGGGCUGGAGUUGGAGAGAGGUACGCGGAAUGCGCGGUGUAGCGGUGAAAUGCUUAGAUAUCGCGCAGAACCCCGAUUGCGAAGGCAGCGUACCGGCUCCACACUGACGCUGAGGCACGAAAGCGUGGGUAUCGAACAGGAUUAGAUACCCUUGUAGUC